UGGGGAAUUUUGGACAAUGGGGGAAACCCUGAUCCAGCCAUCCCGCGUGUGCGAUGAGGGCCUUCGGGUUGUAAAGCACUUUUGGCAGGAAAGAAACGUCAUGGGUUAAUACCCCGUGAAACUGACGGUACCUGCAGAAUAAGCACCGGCUAACUACGUGCCAGCAGCCGCGGUAAUACGUAGGGUGCAAGCGUUAAUCGGAAUUACUGGGCGUAAAGCGUGCGCAGGCGGUUCGGAAAGAAAGAUGUGAAAUCCCAGAGCUCAACUUUGGAACUGCAUUUUUAACUACCGGGCUAGAGUGUGUCAGAGGGAGGUGGAAUUCCGCGUGUAGCAGUGAAAUGCGUAGAUAUGCGGAGGAACACCGAUGGCGAAGGCAGCCUCCUGGGAUAACACUGACGCUCAUGCACGAAAGCGUGGGGAGCAAACAGG
This 429-nucleotide ribosomal RNA is filed under the name Acidobacteriota bacterium. Its description in RNAcentral is "Acidobacteria bacterium partial 16S ribosomal RNA". It matches the Rfam family "Bacterial small subunit ribosomal RNA", at positions 355 to 776 of the family's 1533-position model. Lineage: Bacteria; Pseudomonadati; Acidobacteriota. The record is from RNAcentral.